UCCUACGGGAGGCAGCAGUGGGGAAUUUUGGACAAUGGGGGCAACCCUGAUCCAGCGACGCCGCGUGAAGGAUGAAGGUCUUCGGAUUGUAAACUUCUUUUGGAGGGGAUGAAUGCCCCCGUGAAAAACGGGGGGUGACAGUACUCUCUGAAUAAGCCACGGCUAACUACGUGCCAGCAGCCGCGGUAAUACGUAGGUGGCAAGCGUUACUCGGAAUCACUAGGCGUAAAGCGCAGGUAGGCGGUUCAGUAAGUCUUUUGUGAAAGCUCCCGGCUCAACUGGGAGAGGCCAAGGGAAACUACUGGGCUAGAGUAUGGUAGAGGAAGCUGGAAUUCCCGGUGUAGCGGUGAAAUGCGUAGAGAUCGGGAGGAAUACCUAAGGCGAAAGCAGGCUUCUGGGCCAUUACUGACACUGAUCUGCGAAAGCUAGGGGAGCAAACAGGAUUAGAUACCCCGGUAGC
This 460-nucleotide ribosomal RNA is filed under the name uncultured bacterium. Its description in RNAcentral is "bacterial SSU rRNA". It matches the Rfam family "Bacterial small subunit ribosomal RNA", at positions 337 to 794 of the family's 1533-position model. The record is from RNAcentral.